Molecule: ribosomal RNA, 483 nt
Filed under: uncultured bacterium
Lineage: Bacteria
Description: partial 16S ribosomal RNA
Rfam family: Bacterial small subunit ribosomal RNA
Source: RNAcentral
AUUGAACGCUAGCGGGAUGCUUUACACAUGCAAGUCGAACGGCAGCGCGGACUUCGGUCUGGCGGCGAGUGGCGAACGGGUGAGUAAUGUAUCGGAACGUGCCCAGUAGCGGGGGAUAACUACGCGAAAGCGUAGCUAAUACCGCAUACGCCCUACGGGGGAAAGCAGGGGAUCGUAAGACCUUGCACUAUUGGAGCGGCCGAUAUCGGAUUAGCUAGUUGGUGAGGUAACGGCUCACCAAGGCGACGAUCCGUAGCUGGUUUGAGAGGACGACCAGCCACACUGGGACUGAGACACGGCCCAGACUCCUACGGGAGGCAGCAGUAGGGAAUCUGCCGCAAUGGGCGAAAGCUUGACGGAGCAACGCCGCGUGAGUGAUGAAGGUCUUCGGAUCGUAAAACUCUGUUAUUAGGGAAGAACAAAUGUGUAAGUAACUAUGCACGUCUGGACGGUACCUAAUCAGAAAGCCACGGCUAACUACGU